Molecule: ribosomal RNA, 300 nt
Filed under: uncultured Thalassolituus sp.
Lineage: Bacteria; Pseudomonadati; Pseudomonadota; Gammaproteobacteria; Oceanospirillales; Oceanospirillaceae
Description: bacterial SSU rRNA
Rfam family: Bacterial small subunit ribosomal RNA
Source: RNAcentral
CGCGUAGGAAACUACCCAGUAGUGGGGGACAACAGUUGGAAACGACUGCUAAUACCGCAUACGCUCUACGGAGGAAAGGGGGCGUUCGGCUCUCGCUAUUGGAUGUGCCUGCGUGAGAUUAGCUAGUUGGUGGGGUAAAGGCCUACCAAGGCAACGAUCUCUAGCUGGUCUGAGAAGAUGAUCAGCCACACUGGGACUGAGACACGGCCCAGACUCCUACGGGAGGCAGCAGUGGGGAAUCUUAGACAAUGGGGGAAACCCUGAUCUAGCCAUGCCGCGUGAGUGACGAAGGCCCUAGGG